ACGCACGCUGGCGGCAGGCCUCACACCUGCCAGUCGCACGAAGUCUUCGGACUUAGUGGCGCACGGGUGAGUAACACGUGGGAAUAUACCUUACGCUGGGGGAUAACAUCGGGAAACUGAUGCUAAUACCGCAUACGCCCUUCGGGGGAAAGAUUUAUCGGCGAAAGAUUAGCCCGCGUCCGAUUAGCUAGUUGGUGAGGUAAUGGCUCACCAAGGCUCCGAUCGGUAGCUGGUCUGAGAGGAUGACCAGCCACACUGGGACUGAGACACGGCCCAGACUCCUACGGGAGGCAGCAGUGGGGAAUAUUGGACAAUGGGCGCAAGCCUGAUCCAGCCAUGCCGCGUGAGUGAUGAAGGCCUUAGGGUUGUAAAGCUCUUUCACCCACGACGAUGAUGACGGUAGUGGGAGAAGAAGCCCCGGCUAACUUCGUG
RNAcentral lists this ribosomal RNA (432 nucleotides) under uncultured bacterium. RNAcentral describes it as "partial 16S ribosomal RNA". It matches the Rfam family "Bacterial small subunit ribosomal RNA", at positions 29 to 507 of the family's 1533-position model. The record is from RNAcentral.